AGAGUUUGAUCAUGGCUCAGAUUGAACGCUGGCGGCAGGCCUAACACAUGCAAGUCGAACGGUAACAGGAAACAGCUUGCUGUUUCGCUGACGAGUGGCGGACGGGUGAGUAAUGUCUGGGAAACUGCCUGAUGGAGGGGGAUAACUACUGGAAACGGUAGCUAAUACCGCAUAAUGUCGCAAGACCAAAGAGGGGGACCUUCGGGCCUCUUGCCAUCGGAUGUGCCCAGAUGGGAUUAGCUAGUAGGUGGGGUAACGGCUCACCUAGGCGACGAUCCCUAGCUGGUCUGAGAGGAUGACCAGCCACACUGGAACUGAGACACGGUCCAGACUCCUACGGGAGGCAGCAGUGGGGAAUAUUGCACAAUGGGCGCAAGCCUGAUGCAGCCAUGCCGCGUGUAUGAAGAAGGCCUUCGGGUUGUAAAGUACUUUCAGCGGGGAGGAAGGGAGUAAAGUUAAUACCUUUGCUCAUUGACGUUACCCGCAGAAGAAGCACCGGCUAACUCCGUGCCAGCAGCCGCGGUAAUACGGAGGGUGCAAGCGUUAAUCGGAAUUACUGGGCGUAAAGCGCACGCAGGCGGUUUGUUAAGUCAGAUGUGAAAUCCCCGGGCUCAACCUGGGAACUGCAUCUGAUACUGGCAAGCUUGAGUCUCGUAGAGGGGGGUAGAAUUCCAGGUGUAGCGGUGAAAUGCGUAGAGAUCUGGAGGAAUACCGGUGGCGAAGGCGGCCCCCUGGACGAAGACUGACGCUCAGGUGCGAAAGCGUGGGGAGCAAACAGGAUUAGAUACCCUGGUAGUCCACGCCGUAAACGAUGUCGACUUGGAGGUUGUGCCCUUGAGGCGUGGCUUCCGGAGCUAACGCGUUAAGUCGACCGCCUGGGGAGUACGGCCGCAAGGUUAAAACUCAAAUGAAUUGACGGGGGCCCGCACAAGCGGUGGAGCAUGUGGUUUAAUUCGAUGCAACGCGAAGAACCUUACCUGGUCUUGACAUCCACAGAACUUUCCAGAGAUGGAUUGGUGCCUUCGGGAACUGUGAGACAGGUGCUGCAUGGCUGUCGUCAGCUCGUGUUGUGAAAUGUUGGGUUAAGUCCCGCCAACGAGCGCAACCCUUAUCCUUUGUUGCCAGCGGUCCGGCCGGGAACUCAAAGGAGACUGCCAGUGAUAAACUGGAGGAAGGUGGGGAUGACGUCAAGUCAUCAUGGCCCUUACGACCAGGGGCUACACACGUGCUACAAUGGCGCAUACAAAGAGAAGCGACCUCGCGAGAGCAAGCGGACCUCAUAAAGUGCGUCGUAGUCCGGAUUGGAGUCUGCAACUCGACUCCAUGAAGUCGGAAUCGCUAGUAAUCGUGGAUCAGAAUGCCACGGUGAAUACGUUCCCGGGCCUUGUACACACCGCCCGUCACACCAUGGGAGUGGGUUGCAAAAGAAGUAGGUAGCUUAACCUUCGGGAGGGCGCUUACCACUUUGUGAUUCAUGACUGGGGUGAAGUCGUAACAAGGUAACCGUAGGGGAACCUGCGGUUGGAUCACCU
Molecule: ribosomal RNA, 1532 nt
Filed under: Escherichia coli
Lineage: Bacteria; Pseudomonadati; Pseudomonadota; Gammaproteobacteria; Enterobacterales; Enterobacteriaceae
Description: bacterial SSU rRNA
Rfam family: Bacterial small subunit ribosomal RNA
Source: RNAcentral